UACGUAGGUGGCAAGCGUUGUCCGGAUUUAUUGGGCGUAAAGCGCGCGCAGGCGGUUCGUUAAGUUCGAGGUGAAAUCUCCCGGCUCAACUGGGAGGGGUCUUCGGAUACUGGCGGACUUGAGGAGAGCAGAGGUGAGUGGAAUUCUGGGUGUAGUGGUGAAAUGCGUAGAUAUCUGGAGGAACACCGGUGGCGAAGGCGGCAUCCUGGACCAAUAUUGACGCUGAGGAGCGAAAGCUAGGGGAGCAAACGGG
RNAcentral lists this ribosomal RNA (253 nucleotides) under uncultured bacterium. RNAcentral's name for it is "partial 16S ribosomal RNA". It matches the Rfam family "Bacterial small subunit ribosomal RNA", at positions 524 to 776 of the family's 1533-position model. The record is from RNAcentral.